Molecule: ribosomal RNA, 468 nt
Filed under: uncultured bacterium
Lineage: Bacteria
Description: partial 16S ribosomal RNA
Rfam family: Bacterial small subunit ribosomal RNA
Source: RNAcentral
GACGAACGCUGGCGGCGUGCUUAACACAUGCAAGUCGAACGGAAAGGCCCUGCUUUUGUUGGGUGCUCGAGUGGCGCACGGGUGAGUAUCACGCGAGUAACCUGCCCUUGACUUUGUGAUAACUUCUGGAAACUGGGGCUCAUACCGGAUAGGAGCUCCUGCUGCAUGGUGGGGGUUGGAAAGUUUCGGCGGUUGGGGAUGGACUCGCGGCUUAUCAGCUUGUUGGUGGGGUAGUGGCUUACCAAGGCUUUGACGGGUAGCCGGCCUGAGAGGGUGACCGGCCACAUGGGGACUGAGAUACGGCCCAGACUCCUACGGGAGGCAGCAGUGGGGAAUAUUGCACAAUGGGCGGAAGCCUGAUGCAGCAACGCAGCGUGCGGGAUGACGGCCUUCGGGUUGUAAACCGCUUUCGACUGUGACGAAGCGUGAGUGACGGUAAUGGGUAAAGAAGCACCGGCUAACUACGUG